Molecule: non-coding RNA, 149 nt
Filed under: Nomascus leucogenys (northern white-cheeked gibbon)
Lineage: Eukaryota; Metazoa; Chordata; Mammalia; Primates; Hylobatidae
Source: Rfam by way of RNAcentral
GCCGGGCGUGGUGGCGCACGCCUGUAAUCCCAGCUUCUUGGGAGGCUGAGGCAGGAGAAUCACUUGAACCCAGGAGGUGGAGGUUGCAGUGAGCCGAGAUUGCGCCAUUGCACUCCAGCCUGGGCAACGAGAGUGAAACUCUGUCUUUA